Oxyura jamaicensis (ruddy duck) is the source of this 377-nucleotide long non-coding RNA. RefSeq lists it as uncharacterized. The record is from RefSeq and is a predicted model, not a curated record. NCBI's taxonomy places the organism in Eukaryota, Metazoa, Chordata, Aves, Anseriformes, Anatidae. The transcript has 3 exons.
CAGGUAUAGGCCCUGCUCAGGUAGAACUGUGUAGCAGAAGCAGAGCUGCUUUCUUCUAGUAACAGCUCCUGUUAAAAUACCCAAGAGCUCUGUCAUACAUAAAGCUGUGCACAAAGCAAUAGGCUGAGGGAGAAUAAAUGAGGAGAACACCUGAGUGCUAGAAAGGAAUACAGCAUGGAUUGUCCAGCUCCUAAAGGUACUGCUUUUUAUUCUAGGUUAUGGACAGUUUCUUAGCAUAAGAGUAAUGCUUUUUUUUAUCUCCUCUCAAGAAAGACUUAAGACUGGUAGCAAAAAUUCUCCUCCAGAAUAAAACUGUUUCAGCACUAUUCCCUCAAAGCAAAACACGUGUUUAGUAACAGUCAGCUUCAUUCUCGUCU